ACUACAAGCUCUGCCUCCCAGGUUCACGCGAUUCUCCUGCCCAAGCCUCCUGAGUAGCUGGGAUUACAGGCAUGCACCAACACGCCUGGCUAAUUCUGUAUUUUUAGUAGAGGCGGGGGUUUCUCCAUGUUGGUCAGGCUGGUCUCGAAUUCCUGACCUCAGGUGAUCCGCCCGCCUCAGCACUCCCAAAGUACUGGGAUUACAGCUGUGAGGCACCGCACCCAGCCAAAAAUUUCCAGUUGCUUUCUUUUCUUUUUGAGAUAGAGUUUCACUCUUGUUGCCCAGACUGGAGUGCAAUGGCACGAUCUCGACUCACUGCAACCUCUGCCUCCUGGGUUCAAGCAAUUCUCCUGUCUCAGCCUCCCAAGUAGCUGGAAUUACAGGCGUGUGCUACCAUGCCCAGCAAUUUUUUUUUUUUUUUUUUCAGUAGAGAUGGAGUUUCACCAGGCCAGGCUGAUCUCGAACUCCUGACCUCAGGUGAUCCACCCGCCUCAGCCUCCCAAAGUGAUAGGAUUAUGAUUACAGGCGUGAGCCACUGCGCCCUGCCUGGGCUGUGGUCUUUAACUGGCUGAGAGCCUUCAGAUGAGAACACUCUGAGCCUCAGUCUCCUUCAAUGGAGGCACUGGACAGCAGGAAGUCAGAGAAGACUUUCAGUGCUAACUGCUCAGUUUUUAUCAAAGCAACUGUGAAUUGUAGAAAGGGGAAAAUUAGCUCUGAAGUAUUUAAGAGGAAAAUGGGGAAUUUUCUUGGAAUUGAUUGAACAUGUUUUAAGACAUCACAAGGAUGCCUCCAAACCUGCUUGACUAUGAACAAUGACUUGUUCUCCUCCAAGGACUAGAUAUGGAGUCUUAUGCUGACCAGGCUGGUCUUGAACUCCUGACCUCCAGUGAUCCUCCAUCUCAGCCUCCCAAAGCCCUGGAAUUACAGGCAAGGUUAUUGAAGAUCACACAGGCUGAAGAAGGGCUGCUGAAUUCUUCAAUAUGAACCAUCCCUUUGAUAAGAAACUGAGUGGGCCUGGUUCUUCUCAUCCCAGGAGAGCUCUGGUGUGCUUCCUGGCAUAUAAGAGAGCUCCCUGGCAGAGAAUGAAAACCACGCCCCUGCUUCACCUCUGCCUACACCUGGAUCUGGAAACCACUUAGGCACUACCAGGCAGCACCUGUUCUCUGCAGGGUCCAACCCUCAGUAUCUCUCUCCACAUUUUGCCCUCAGCCAGGCCUGGCCUCCUCUUCCUGAAGAAUCUUAUGUAUCCUUCAGAGCCAGCAAUCCCAUUACUGGGUAUACAUCCAAAAGAAAAUAAAUCGUUCUACCAAAAAGACACACGCAACCGUGUGUUCAUUGUUGCCCUAUUCACAAUAGCAAAGACAUGGACUCAACCUGUGCCCAUCAACUGGUGGAUUGGAUUUAAA
This 1406-nucleotide long non-coding RNA is filed under the name Homo sapiens (human). RNAcentral's name for it is "HSALNT0354608". Lineage: Eukaryota; Metazoa; Chordata; Mammalia; Primates; Hominidae. The record is from RNAcentral.